AUGGUUUACAAACUGAAAAUAGAAUGAUUUGUGAAGUUGAACAUUUUCUCACAAAGAAUCCGUUUGUAGACAUGUACACUCAUUUAAUCUGCAGCUACGAAGUACUUUGUCACUUCUCUGGAACAUUAUUCUAAGCAGAAUUAUGCCGAUUCAUAUAUUCUAAGAAUCUUGUGUGAAUUGUUUACGAGGAAAUUCUGACUGUCACAUUAACAAGGAUGAACACUCUUGACUCUGCUUCGGAUUCCCCAGUGAUAAUUGUAUCGUGUGAUGAAAGAGCUGACGGUGACAUUUUAAUGUAUGAUUGGCUUGGACCAUUCGAAUGAAGUCAUUUCAUGGUGCCACCACUUGGGAUGGUAUUAGCUGCAAAUAUAGACUUGUACUCAGCACUUAUUGCCUUUAAGAAGUAUGAGAUCCAUUUUGUGCUAACACCUACCGUGACACAGAAUCUUGGUUUAUGCAGUCUCAUAGGAGUAAACUGUCUAAAGCAUUUAGCAAUGGGAUUGGAACCUGCGACGUGUGACUCAUCUGAAUACUGAAUUUUGAUACCAAGCAUGACCAUGAUUUGCCAGAAGAUCAUCUGUUUGGAUGUGACAUGGAAUAAACAGCAUAGUGAAAAUAAGUCAAGUUUUGGUUUGUGAAGACAAUUUUAAAACACACUGUGUAUCAUUUUUAAAUUUUGAUUUGACAACAUAAAUCCACAAAUAUGAACAUAUCAAUUGCUCUCAGUUUUUCAAGUGAAAUAGUUUUUGUAACAGAAAUACAUGUACCAGUAAUUACAUUGGAAUAAAUGUUAUUUUUAAAUAUAAUAAUAUUUUGUUUGUGUAGCAUGUUGACCUCUUUAUUAAGGUCUUCCCUUUCAAAGUUUAGACUUACUUAUUCUAAUGAUUAAGAUAGAUCCUCUGUCUUCAGCAGGAAUAUAAGAUCUUGUAAUACAUGUAUGUGUAUUUUUUACAGUAUAAUGUAAAAAAAAUUGUUAUUUUGGCACAUACAACUAAUUAAAGGCAUAAACAUGUGUAUGAUUCCAAGGAAUUCAGUACAUAGGGCAUGUACAUGUAGUUUUCUAAAACAAGAUUGAAGAGAUGUCCAGUCGCAUUUCAAUGUCAACUCCAAAACUGAGCCUGUUGCAUACUUAUUAGCCCAUCUGAGCUAAAGGAACCAGUAAAUUUUUUAAAAACAUAAUUUUAUCCAUUAUCAUCAUUGUCUAAAAUUUCACAACAUCAUUUUCCAGAACCAAAGUGAAACUUGGCACAGAGCAUCCUUAGUGUAGGGGCUUCAAAUUGUUCUUAUGCAGGGCAAUACCUUCAAAGAGAUUUGUUUCUUUAAUGCUGUAAAUGUAUUAUAUUUAGCUUGUACAAUAUUUGGUGGAAAUUGACUUUUGAAUAAGUUAGCGUAGAUAUUCUUAUUUAUGUUUAUGUACAAGACUUUUAGCUUUGUACUUGAUUUAGUGAUGGCUGCAUUCCGCCAAAGCCGCUA
Long non-coding RNA from Saccostrea cuccullata (small rock oyster), 1473 nucleotides. RefSeq lists it as uncharacterized. NCBI's taxonomy places the organism in Eukaryota, Metazoa, Mollusca, Bivalvia, Ostreida, Ostreidae. The transcript is spliced from 3 exons. The record is from RefSeq and is a predicted model, not a curated record.